Molecule: non-coding RNA, 69 nt
Organism: Podarcis lilfordi (Lilford's wall lizard)
Lineage: Eukaryota; Metazoa; Chordata; Lepidosauria; Squamata; Lacertidae
Source: the annotation of a GenBank genome assembly
GCUGUAACUCAAUGGUAGAGCAUCUGCUUUGUAUACAGAAAUCCCUAGGUUCAAUCCCUGGCAUCUCCA